CGUAGGGGGCAAGCGUUGUCCGGAUUUAUUGGGCGUAAAGAGCGUGUAGGCGGCCAGGCAGGUCCGUUGUGAAAACUCGAGGCUCAACCUCGAGACGUCGAUGGAAACCGUCUGGCUAGAGUCCGGAAGAGGAGAGUGGAAUUCCUGGUGUAGCGGUGAAAUGCGCAGAUAUCAGGAAGAACACCUAUGGCGAAGGCAGCUCUCUGGGACGGUACUGACGCUGAGACGCGAAAGCGUGGGGAGCGAACAGGAUUAGAUACCCUGGUAGUCCACGCCGUAAACGAUGGGCGCUAGGUGUGGGGGGUGUCGACUCCCUCCGUGCCGAAGCUAACGCAUUAAGCGCCCCGCCUGGGGAGUACGGCCGCAAGGCUA
Molecule: ribosomal RNA, 372 nt
Filed under: uncultured organism
Description: bacterial SSU rRNA
Rfam family: Bacterial small subunit ribosomal RNA
Source: RNAcentral